RNAcentral lists this ribosomal RNA (259 nucleotides) under uncultured Glomus. Its description in RNAcentral is "partial 18S ribosomal RNA". It matches the Rfam family "Eukaryotic small subunit ribosomal RNA", at positions 624 to 886 of the family's 1831-position model. Lineage: Eukaryota; Fungi; Glomeromycota; Glomeromycetes; Glomerales; Glomeraceae. The record is from RNAcentral.
AAGCUCGUAGUUGAAUUUCGGGAUUAGUACGUCGGUCGUGCCUUAGGUACGUACUGGUAUUACUGGUUCCUACCUUCUGACGAACCAUCAUGUCAUUAAUUUGGUAUGGUGGGGAAUCAGGACUGUUACUUUGAAAAAAUUAGAGUGUUUAAAGCAGGCUCGCGCUUGAAUACAUUAGCAUGGAAUAAUGAAAUAGGACGUUCGAUCUUAUUUUGUUUGGUUUCUUAGGAUUGACGUAAUGAUUAUAGGGAUAGUUGGG